GCUGGGCGUGGUUGUGCAUGCUUGUAGUCCCAGCUACUCAGGAGGCUGAGAUGGGAGGAUCACUUGAGCCCAGGAGGUUGAGACUGCAGUGAGCUGUGUCACACCACUGCACUGCAGCCUGGGCAAUAGAGUAAGACCUUAUCUCAA
RNAcentral lists this non-coding RNA (147 nucleotides) under Gorilla gorilla gorilla (western lowland gorilla). The record is from Rfam by way of RNAcentral. Lineage: Eukaryota; Metazoa; Chordata; Mammalia; Primates; Hominidae.